This 1531-nucleotide unclassified non-coding RNA is filed under the name Hevea brasiliensis (rubber tree). Lineage: Eukaryota; Viridiplantae; Streptophyta; Magnoliopsida; Malpighiales; Euphorbiaceae. The record is from RNAcentral.
UACUAGUAAUAGAUUAGGAAAAUAUGUGUAAUGAUACAACAUACUUCCUCACAGAAGAAUGAUAAUAUAACAGCAAAAUUAUAUGAGCAGACUACAGCCUUGUUUUGAUUUAUGUGUCUGAAAACUGUUGUAGUGACAUUAUACCAACAUAUGACACACAAUUUCACUGUUGUGGCCUACUUUAGGUUUCUUGCAUGAAGUGGAUGACAAAGAAUAAAUAACGAGGAUGAAGUCGAACCGAGUAGAUGAAGAUUACAGAUAGUAAAGCUCUGCUCUGAAUUCAUUCAGUUUGUCGUUGUCUUUGACAUCGCCUGCUUGACAGCCUCCGCGUAUGUCCUAUGUUGGUAAGUGAGUGUGGAUUCAAGCAAGUCCCAUAGGGAUGUCUUUGGGUUCCAACCGAGCUGUCUGUUGAUUAUGGUCAUGUCUGGAAUCCGCUUGUCACUGUCAUCAUACCCCUCGCCAUAAAAUUCUUUAGAACUAACAUCGACGGUGGGAGUUUCAAGAGGGGUUUCUCCACUCACUUUUGAGUACACCUGAGUCAUCAUUUCAGCUAGCUGCUUGACAGUAACUUCGUUAUUAGGAUUGCCGACGUUAAAGAUAUGGCCGUUGGCCCGAGCAGGAUUUUCAAUCAUCAGGGAAACAGCUUCAAUAGCAUCCUUGAUAUAUAUAAAAGUUCUCUGUGAUUCCCCACCAUCCACUAAUUUCAGCGGUUCACGUCUUAAGAGGUUAUUACUAAAGCAAGCUAACACUCUUGGAACACCUUCACUAGGACCAUCAAUGCCGGGAAUAAAAUCCAUCCUAGGACCAAUCCAGUUAAAUGGCCUUACAAUAGUGAACUCUAAGCCAUUCUCCGCACCCUCAGCAUAGACCAGCCUCUCAAUCAACUGUUUUGCACAUGCAUAGGACCACCGCUGCUUCUCAAUUGGUCCAAAGAUGCAAGGGGAGGUGUCUUCCUUAAGCACAUAAUAAGCAGGAUCCUGCCGGAGUGGGCUGUCUUUCGGUAAAAAGGCACCUAUGGUUUUCCCAUAAACUUCACAAGUUGAGAAGUGAAUGAGACGCUUUCCAUUUUCUGAGCAGUACUUGACCACUGGUAGAGCAUCGAUGAAAUUGCUGUAAAUUGUAUCAAGUGGACGAGUGUUGUAAUCUGCAGGUGUGCAGAUCGCAGCAAGAUUUAUGGUCAGAUCUGCCAUUUUGAUGAGACCUUCAAGGCGAGAAUCAUUCUUAAUAUUGAUUCGAUGAAACUGAAUUCGAUCAGCCCAAGUAACCGUCGCCGGUUCAAGCAAAUGCUUAAUCUUAUCACUGUAAACAUCGACAGCAAGCACCUUAUGAGGAGUCUCCGACAGAAGCUUCUCACAUAAAUGAGAACCAAUGAAUCCACCGGCACCAAUCAUGCAUAUCGUAAUCUGCUUAAUGGGAUUACCGUCCAGAUCUACUCUUCCUGCCAUUUCCAAUUACUGCAAAUCCUCUCUCACUGCAAUUUUUUUUAAGAUACUUUUUUCAGUUUCUCUCUCUAUAUUGAAGUGAAUCGAUA